GCCGGGAUAGCUCAGUGAGGUAGAGCAAAGGACUGAAAAUCCUCGUGUCA
RNAcentral lists this transfer RNA (50 nucleotides) under Acuston lunarioides. RNAcentral's name for it is "partial tRNA-Phe". It matches the Rfam family "tRNA", at positions 1 to 47 of the family's 71-position model. Rfam says of the family: Transfer RNA (tRNA) molecules are approximately 80 nucleotides in length. Their secondary structure includes four short double-helical elements and three loops (D, anti-codon, and T loops). Lineage: Eukaryota; Viridiplantae; Streptophyta; Magnoliopsida; Brassicales; Brassicaceae. The record is from RNAcentral.